CAGUCGCCGCGGUAAUACGUAGGGUGCAAGCGUUAAUCGGAAUUACUGGGCGUAAAGCGUGCGCAGGCGGUUAUAUAAGUCAGAUGUGAAAUCCCCGGGCUCGACCUGGGAACUGCAUUUGAGACUGUAUGGCUAGAGUGUGUCAGAGGGGGGUAGAAUUCCACGUGUAGCAGUGAAAUGCGUAGAUAUGUGGAGGAAUACCGAUGGCGAAGGCAGCCCCCUGGGAUAACACUGACGCUCAUGCACGAAAGCGUGGGGAGCAAACAGGAUUAGAUACCCGCGUAGUCCCUGUCUCUUAUAC
Molecule: ribosomal RNA, 301 nt
Filed under: uncultured bacterium
Lineage: Bacteria
Description: partial 16S ribosomal RNA
Rfam family: Bacterial small subunit ribosomal RNA
Source: RNAcentral